Molecule: ribosomal RNA, 465 nt
Filed under: Vreelandella stevensii
Lineage: Bacteria; Pseudomonadati; Pseudomonadota; Gammaproteobacteria; Oceanospirillales; Halomonadaceae
Description: partial 16S ribosomal RNA
Rfam family: Bacterial small subunit ribosomal RNA
Source: RNAcentral
CCUACGGGAGGCUGCAGUGGGGAAUAUUGGACAAUGGGGGCAACCCUGAUCCAGCCAUGCCGCGUGUGUGAAGAAGGCCCUCGGGUUGUAAAGCACUUUCAGUGAGGAAGAACGCCUGGUGGUUAAUACCCAUCAGGAAAGACAUCACUCACAGAAGAAGCACCGGCUAACUCCGUGCCAGCAGCCGCGGUAAUACGGAGGGUGCGAGCGUUAAUCGGAAUUACUGGGCGUAAAGCGCGCGUAGGUGGCUUGAUAAGCCGGUUGUGAAAGCCCCGGGCUCAACCUGGGAACGGCAUCCGGAACUGUCAAGCUAGAGUGCAGGAGAGGAAGGUAGAAUUCCCGGUGUAGCGGUGAAAUGCGUAGAGAUCGGGAGGAAUACCGGUGGCGAAGGCGGCCUUCUGGACUGACACUGACACUGAGGUGCGAAAGCGUGGGUAGCAAACAGGAUUAGAUACCCUGGUAGUC